Molecule: ribosomal RNA, 495 nt
Filed under: uncultured bacterium
Lineage: Bacteria
Description: partial 16S ribosomal RNA
Source: RNAcentral
GUAGUUAGCCGUGGCUUCCUCCCCAGGUACCGUCAUUAUCGUCCCUAAAGACAGAGCUUUACAAUCCGAAAACCUUCUUCCCUCACGCGGCGUUGCUGGGUCAGGCUUGCGCCCAUUGCCCAAUAUUCCCCACUGCUGCCUCCCGUAGGAGUCUGGACCGUGUCUCAGUUCCAGUGUGGCCGAUCAGCCUCUCAGCUCGGCUACCCAUCGUCGGCUUGGUGGGCUGUUAUCUCACCAACUACCUAAUGGGACGCGAACCCCUCUAAAAGCGAUAAAUCUUUGACCUCUUCCCGAUGCCGGGUUGUGGUCUUAUGCGGUAUUAGCAGUUGUUUCCACCUGUUAUUCCCCACUCUUAGGCAGGUUGUUCACGCGUUACUCACCCGUGCGCCACUAGAAUUAUCAAUUCCAUCCGAAAACUUCCUUAAUAAUCCCCGUUCGACUUGCAUGUGUUAGGCACGCCGCCAGCGUUCGUCCUGAGCCAGAAUCAAACUCUGA